UUAUUGGAGAGUUUGAUCCUGGCUCAGGACGAACGCUGGCGGCGUGCCUAAUACAUGCAAGUCGAGCGAUAUCUUUGGGGGCUUGCC
RNAcentral lists this ribosomal RNA (87 nucleotides) under Anoxybacillus andreesenii. RNAcentral's name for it is "Robertmurraya andreesenii partial 16S ribosomal RNA". It matches the Rfam family "Bacterial small subunit ribosomal RNA", at positions 1 to 84 of the family's 1533-position model. The record is from RNAcentral. Lineage: Bacteria; Bacillati; Bacillota; Bacilli; Caryophanales; Anoxybacillaceae.